UAAUUUGAAGAAGGUAUCUUUGGGUCUGGCUCUUGUCUAUGUUUCUUGGAACAGAACGUCACAGAGGGUGAGAAUCCCGUGCGAUGAGAUGAUCCAGGCCUAUGUAAAGUUCCUUCGAAGAGUCGAGUUGUUUGGGAAUGCAGCUCUAAGUGGGUGGUAAAUUCCAUCUAAAGCUAAAUAUUGGCGAGAGACCGAUAGCGAACAAGUACAGUGAUGGAAAGAUGAAAAGAACUUUGAAAAGAGAGUGAAAAAGUACGUGAAAUUGUUGAAAGGGAAGGGCUUGAGAUCAGACUUGGUAUUUUGUAUGUUACUUCUUCGGGGGUGGCCUCUACAGUUUAUCGGGCCAGCAUCAGUUUGGGCGGUAGGAGAAUUGCGUUGGAAUGUGGCACGGCUUCGGUUGUGUGUUAUAGCCUUCGUCGAUACUGCCAGCCUAGACUGAGGACUGCGGUUUAUACCUAGGAUGUUGGCAUAAUGAUCUUAAGUCGCCCGUCU
RNAcentral lists this ribosomal RNA (492 nucleotides) under Malassezia furfur. Its description in RNAcentral is "eukaryotic LSU rRNA". It matches the Rfam family "Eukaryotic large subunit ribosomal RNA", at positions 146 to 654 of the family's 3401-position model. Lineage: Eukaryota; Fungi; Basidiomycota; Malasseziomycetes; Malasseziales; Malasseziaceae. The record is from RNAcentral.